GAGUCGGCCAGACAAUCGCUGCCCCGAACAGGGGGAGAGGAAAGUCCGGGCUCCGUAGAGCAGAGUGCCAGGUAACGCCUGGGAAGCGUGAGCUUACGAACAGUGCAACAGAAAGUAUACCGCCGCAAGGUAAGGGUGAAAAGGUGGGGUAAGAGCCCACCGCGCAGCUAGUAAUAGUCUGUGGCAGUGAAAACUCCACUCGGAGCAAGAUCAAAUAGGUUCCCGUUAAUGCUGCUCGUAUUGGGAACGGGUAGAUUGCUUAAGUCAGCAAGUGAUUGCUGAAUUAGAUGAAUGAUUGUCACCGCAAGGUACAGAACCCGGCUUAUCGGCUGACUCA
Molecule: RNase P RNA, 337 nt
Filed under: human gut metagenome
Description: Bacterial RNase P class A
Rfam family: Bacterial RNase P class A
About the family: Ribonuclease P (RNase P) is a ubiquitous endoribonuclease, found in archaea, bacteria and eukarya as well as chloroplasts and mitochondria. Its best characterised activity is the generation of mature 5'-ends of tRNAs by cleaving the 5'-leader elements of precursor-tRNAs. Cellular RNase Ps are ribonucleoproteins.
Source: RNAcentral